UGACACCAGCAUCCAUCAAUUGUCAGUCUAUGGGUAGUAUGGGAAUGAUGUCAGACCAUCUCACAAGCACAUCAAAAAAGGAAUGCAUCUCCCACGUGGUCUCCCCUACUGGCCUCUUCUCUGCAUCGUACUCCACCAUAACCUGAUGCUAGCGGUUUCACACAUACGGCAUGCGUGUAGGACCGCAAAAGAUCCUAUUGGAUGAUGCACCUAUAAUAAAAAUAUA
Molecule: long non-coding RNA, 226 nt
Filed under: Elaeis guineensis (African oil palm)
Lineage: Eukaryota; Viridiplantae; Streptophyta; Magnoliopsida; Arecales; Arecaceae
Description: long non-coding RNA (EGUI_LNC065760)
Source: RNAcentral